Molecule: non-coding RNA, 28 nt
Filed under: Homo sapiens (human)
Lineage: Eukaryota; Metazoa; Chordata; Mammalia; Primates; Hominidae
Source: RNAcentral
UGCACUGUGCUUGAUACAGAGAAAGGUC